GGAUUGUGGCUCAGUGGUAGUGUGCUUGCCUAGCAUGUGUGAGGCACUGGGUUCAAUUCUCAGCACCA
RNAcentral lists this transfer RNA (68 nucleotides) under Marmota monax (woodchuck). RNAcentral's name for it is "tRNA.Ala". Lineage: Eukaryota; Metazoa; Chordata; Mammalia; Rodentia; Sciuridae. The record is from RNAcentral.